Molecule: ribosomal RNA, 3243 nt
Filed under: Triticum aestivum (bread wheat)
Lineage: Eukaryota; Viridiplantae; Streptophyta; Magnoliopsida; Poales; Poaceae
Description: partial small subunit ribosomal RNA
Source: RNAcentral
AUGCAUGGCGGCUGGGUCGUCUCGCUCUCGUUCACGCCGGGCUCCAUCGGGGUCGCGAACCUCUUCUCUGGCGCCCAGGCGAUGCUUGCCAAGAAACAGGCGAUGAUAGUCUGUGAGGGCAAGGGCCAUGGCCGCAACGUCGUCGCCUUGAAAAUUGUGUUCUCCGAGCCACCAACCUCAAACGGCUGUAUCCUAGCCGCCAUGACGGUUAGUUGUGGUGUCGUGCUCUGUAGACUCGGUUGCACGGACUGUGGGUGGACGGUACAAGGAUGCCCUAGGCUAGAGCUUGCAGACAUCACCUUCAGCAAUGGCGAGCUCUAUGGCCUACGCUAUGAAGGGACACUCGUCAAGUUUGACAUUGGCGCAAAUGAGGAUGGUGCGCCAAUGAUCAUUGCGGAACAUCGGCUAAACCAUGCAAAGGAUCGACCACACCAUUCAUGGGGCUACCUCAUGGAUUCUUCCAAUUACAUCUUCGAUCUACAGGGCAAGCUUGCGAUGGCAUCCAUUCACUCGUGGUUGCCAAACCUUGAGCUCAUUGACAUCUAUACCGGUGGAUCGGAUGCACGUUACAAGCUCAAGUGGGUGGAGGUGACAAACUUGGGUGAGCAUGCCUUGUUUUUAGGGAAGAUAUUCUCUAAGGCGGUUCAUGUGCCGGCAAACACGCACGGAGGGGUGGAUAGAAACUGCAUCUACUACUCACGCCGUUGUCGUUUAGGUCCAAAGGAUGUUGUCCCUUGUGACAAGGUUCCUAAUCCAGAUGUCCAGGGCCGGUGGCAGAUCCUCGAGGCUUGUAUGUCAAAGGUCGAAGCCAAGGGUAUGGAUCUGAUGAUCCUUGCGAGGGGGACACCAGGACUUUCAGGUGCAGACCUUACAAACUUGGUGAAUUUUGCUGCUGUGAAGGCUGCCAAAGAUGGGGCAGAAGCUGUUACGAUGGAUCAUGUUGAAUACGCCAAGGAGAAGAUCAUGAUGGGCAGCGAGCGUAAAGCGGCAGUGAUACCUGAUAGCUGCAGGAAGAUGAGUGCAUACCACGUGGGAGGGCGGGCCCUUGUUGCUAUCCACACAGAUGAUGCUCGCCCUAUCUACAAGGCUAGCAUUGUCCCGAGGGGGAACACACUCGGCAUGGUGACCCAGCUGCCAGAGGAAGAAGACGCAUAUAAACUCUCAAGGAAGAAGAUGCUGGCGAAAUUGGACAUCCUCAUGGGAGGCAGGGUGGCUGAGGAGCUUAUAUUCGGCGAGAGUGAGGUGACCUCCGGCGCCCAGUCUGAUCUAAGUGAGGCGACUCAGUUGGCGACAGACAUGGUCACCAAGUACGGUAUGAGCCAGCGGGUUGGCCUUGUGUCCUACAGCAGUGACCGUGGGAUCAAGAUGGCGACCUGGAGCGGGCAUACGGCUGCAAGGCGUCUUGCAACGCGUGGAACAGCAAAUGUGAUCUACAGCAAGGCAGCGACAGCUUCUGUUCCUUCUUUCAGUCUACAUGCUGCAAAAACGACUGCUCCAGGCAGUGUGCUUUCUAGACGGUUUAACAGCAAUGGUCCAGAAAGAGUCAUACAAAACUUCGAAAUGAAUAAUCCACCCCUAUCUCCAACUCUCUCUGAGUACGUAAAAGCCCUCGUCAGUGUUGAAUUGCAAGCUCAAGGAGUAACUGCUAAUUUAGCCACAGAUUCAAGCAUGAAUGCUGGUGAUGUAAACAAGGUUUACCGAUCCAAAAAAGAUGUCAAGAGGGCUGAUGAAGAGUAUGAUCGCGAUGCUUCUGAAGAUGAAGACUGGGACGACGAUGACUUGGAAGGUUGGAACAUGGAAGAUUGGGAAGGAUAUGAAGAUUGGGAUGCUCUGAAAGAUGUGUCCAUGAAUUCAAAGACGAAAUUCUGUGAUGUUAAGGGAGUUGACGAAGCCAAAGCUGAGCUUGAAGAUAUAGUUCACUACCUAAGAGAUCCCAAGCAUUUCACGUGCCUUGGUGGCAAGCUUCCCAAAGGUGUUCUGCUUGUUGGCCCACCGGGCACAGGGAAGACCAUGUUGGCAAGGGCCGUGGCUGGGGAAGCCGGCGUCCCAUUCUUCGCGUGCAGCGGCAGCGACUUCGAGGAGGAAUAUGUGGGUGUUGGAGCUAGAAGAGUGAGGGAGCUCUUCAGUACAGCAAAGGAGCAAUCUCCUUGCAUAAUAUUCAUCGACGAAAUCGACGCCAUUGCUGGUCGCAGAAACCCAAAAGAUGCAACAUGGGCGAGGCAAACCUUGAACCAGCUGCUAUCUGAGAUGGAUGGCUUCAAGCAGAAUGAUGGGAUCAUCGUGAUUGCGGCGACCAACUUCCCCCAGUCGCUAGAUAAAGCCGCUGUUAGACCUGGGCGAUUUGACCGUCAUGUUCAGGUUCCUAAUCCAGAUGUUGAGGGUCGGCGGCAGAUCCUCGAGGCUUGUAUGUCAAAGAUCAAAGCCAAGGGUGUGGAUCUAAUGGUCCUUGCUAGGGGGACACCGGGAUUUUCAGGUGCAGACCUUACAAACUUGUUGAACGUUGCUGCUCUGCAGGCUGCCAAGGAUGGGGCAGAAGCUGUUACGAUGGAUCACGUGGAAUACGCUAAGGACAAGAUAAUGAUGGGCAACGAGCGCAAAUCCUCAAUGAUACCUGAUAACUGCAGGAAGAUGAUUGCGUACCACGAGGGAGGGAGGGCACUUGUUGCUAUCCACACAGAUGGUGCUCGCCCUAUCUACAAGGCUACCAUUGUUCCGAGGGGAAACACUCUUGGCAUGGUGACCCAGCUGCCAGAGGAAGAAGACGUAUAUAAAGUCUCGAGGAAGAAGACGCUAGCGAAAUUGGAUAUCCUCAUGGGAGGCAGGGUGGCCGAGGAACUUAUAUUUGAGGCGGGCGAGGUGACCUCUGCCACCUUUUCUGAUGUAAACGAGGCAACUCAGCUGGCGACAGACAUGGUCAUCAAAUACGGUAUGAGUGAGCGGGUCGGCCUUGCCCUUGUUUCCUAUGGCAACGACGAUGAUGGUCGUGGUGGGAAGAUGUCGGCCUUGAGCGGCCAUAUGAUAGCCGCAGUGGAGGGGGAGGUGCAGGAAUUACUGGACAAGGCUUACGAGAACGCGAAAAUGAUUCUCACUGCACACAGUAAGGAGCUUCAUGUGCUAGCUGAUGCCCUCCUUGAGCAUGGAACUCUCACUGGCCACCAGAUCAAAGCCCUCCUUGAGCACGGAACUUUCACUGGCCACCAGAUGAAGCACAUAGCAUCGCCAAGUAAAAAUAAAUGGUUUUAA